AAUGCAAUUAGAACACAGAGUUAUGGCAAUGGAUACAAGUGAUUGCACUCCAGGUACAAAAGCAUAUUGGAAGUCGAAAAGAAAAGAGAUACAAAGGAAACAAAUCGCAAAAGACUUAUUUGAAAGUUCUUCAGCCCAUUUAGACGACGACGGAUUUAAUCCGUUUGAUUGAUCUCCCUUGUUUGAUUUAUAUGGGUACUCUUUUCCUUGUGUCGGCCCACAAGGUUUUUGACGAGGCCCAUUCGUUAUUUC
Molecule: long non-coding RNA, 252 nt
Filed under: Erythranthe guttata (spotted monkey flower)
Lineage: Eukaryota; Viridiplantae; Streptophyta; Magnoliopsida; Lamiales; Phrymaceae
Description: long non-coding RNA (EGUT_LNC002468)
Source: RNAcentral